This 303-nucleotide ribosomal RNA is filed under the name uncultured bacterium. RNAcentral describes it as "bacterial SSU rRNA". It matches the Rfam family "Bacterial small subunit ribosomal RNA", at positions 29 to 334 of the family's 1533-position model. The record is from RNAcentral.
AACGAACGCUGGCGGCAGGCCUAACACAUGCAAGUCAAGCGAGAAGCCACCUUCGGGUGGUGGGCAGCGGCGGACGGGUGAGUAACGCGUAGGAAUUUACCUCGGAGUGGGGGACAACCACUGGAAACGGUGGCUAAUACCGCAUACGCCCAUCUGACAUGAGGUCGGAUGGGGAAAGAUUUAUUGCUCUGGGAUGAUCCUGCGUCGGAUUAGCUUGUUGGUGAGGUAACGGCUCACCAAGGCUGCGAUCCGUAGCUGGUUUGAGAGGAUGAUCAGCCACACUGGGACUGAGACACGGCCCAG